Long non-coding RNA from Asterias rubens (European starfish), 341 nucleotides. RefSeq lists it as uncharacterized. Lineage: Eukaryota; Metazoa; Echinodermata; Asteroidea; Forcipulatida; Asteriidae. The transcript has 3 exons. The record is from RefSeq and is a predicted model, not a curated record.
UUCAUAUUAGGUGAUUGAUCAUUUGAUAGACAGGGCAUGUGCCAAGUGCGGUCACGAUGGACUUCAUUUCCACACCAGGCAAGCACGAUCAGCUGAUAAAGAACAAAUCGUCUUCUAUUUCUGCCAUCAUGCAAGCAUCAAGAGAUUGAGUACUCCUGAAGAGAAUCAACAUCUUCGGAUCGGUCUACACUGAGAGGAACUCAAGGCAAAAGCUCACUGAAACAAGGAAAUGAAAUCUCCACCUACGACGACGACCACCUGAUUCCAGAGAGAUGUCUUACUGAUGAGGAGGCCGAGCAUCCAUCCCUCUGUAGUAAUCACAGUAUGGGUACUUAAAUAAG